AUUGAACGCUGGCGGCAUGCCUUACACAUGCAAGUCGAACGGCAGCACGGGAGCAAUCCUGGUGGCGAGUGGCGAACGGGUGAGUAAUAUAUCGGAACGUGCCCGGUCGUGGGGGAUAACGUAGCGAAAGCUACGCUAAUACCGCAUACGAUCUACGGAUGAAAGCGGGUGAUCGCAAGACCUCGCGCGAUUGGAGCGGCCGAUAUCAGAUUAGGUAGUUGGUGAGGUAAAGGCUCACCAAGCCGACGAUCUGUAGCUGGUCUGAGAGGACGACCAGCCACACUGGGACUGAGACACGGCCCAGACUCCUACGGGAGGCAGCAGUGGGGAAUAUUGGACAAUGGGCGAAAGCCUGAUCCAGCAAUGCCGCGUGAGUGAUGAAGGCCUUAGGGUUGUAAAGCUCUUUUACUGGGGAUGAUAAUGACAGUACCCAGAGAAUAAAGCUCCGGCUAACUCCGUGCCAGCAGCCGCGGUAAAG
RNAcentral lists this ribosomal RNA (478 nucleotides) under uncultured bacterium. Its description in RNAcentral is "bacterial SSU rRNA". It matches the Rfam family "Bacterial small subunit ribosomal RNA", at positions 30 to 525 of the family's 1533-position model. The record is from RNAcentral.